CCUACGGGUGGCUGCAGUGGGGAAUAUUGGACAAUGGGGGCAACCCUGAUCCAGCCAUGCCGCGUGUGUGAAGAAGGCCCUCGGGUUGUAAAGCACUUUCAGUGAGGAAGAACGCCUGGUGGUUAAUACCCAUCAGGAAAGACAUCACUCACAGAAGAAGCACCGGCUAACUCCGUGCCAGCAGCCGCGGUAAUACGGAGGGUGCGAGCGUUAAUCGGAAUUACUGGGCGUAAAGCGCGCGUAGGUGGCUUGAUAAGCCGGUUGUGAAAGCCCCGGGCUCAACCUGGGAACGGCAUCCGGAACUGUCAAGCUAGAGUGCAGGAGAGGAAGGUAGAAUUCCCGGUGUAGCGGUGCAAUGCGUAGAGAUCGGGAGGAAUACCAGUGGCGAAGGCGGCCUUCUGGACUGACACUGACACUGAGGUGCGAAAGCGUGGGUAGCAAACAGGAUUAGAUACCCCAGUAGUC
RNAcentral lists this ribosomal RNA (465 nucleotides) under Vreelandella stevensii. Its description in RNAcentral is "partial 16S ribosomal RNA". It matches the Rfam family "Bacterial small subunit ribosomal RNA", at positions 338 to 795 of the family's 1533-position model. The record is from RNAcentral. Lineage: Bacteria; Pseudomonadati; Pseudomonadota; Gammaproteobacteria; Oceanospirillales; Halomonadaceae.